AAUAACGCUGGCGGCGGCCUAACACUGUACAGUCGAGCGAGAAAGCUUCUUCGGAAGGUGAGUCAGCGGCGAACGUUACGCGUGAGAAUCUACCUUUUAGUGAAGGAUACCCUUGAGAAAUCGAGGUUAAUACUGCAUAAGCUCCCUUCGUGGGAGAGAGAUGGCCUCUUUGCUGUCGCUAAAAGAUGAGCUUGCGUGCUAUUAGCUAGUUGGUAGGGUAAGGGCCUACCAAGCGCGGUGAUGGCUAGCCGGCCUGAGUAGGGUGUACGGCCACACUGGAACUUAGACACAGUCCAGCACUCCUACGGAGGCAGAGUGAGAAUCUGCGCAAUGGGCGAAAGCUGACGCAGCGACACCAGUGGAGGAUGAAG
Molecule: ribosomal RNA, 371 nt
Filed under: uncultured bacterium
Lineage: Bacteria
Description: bacterial SSU rRNA
Rfam family: Bacterial small subunit ribosomal RNA
Source: RNAcentral